RNAcentral lists this ribosomal RNA (1043 nucleotides) under Lepus timidus (Mountain hare). Its description in RNAcentral is "partial 16S ribosomal RNA". It matches the Rfam family "Bacterial large subunit ribosomal RNA", at positions 905 to 2593 of the family's 2925-position model. The record is from RNAcentral. Lineage: Eukaryota; Metazoa; Chordata; Mammalia; Lagomorpha; Leporidae.
GUCCAGAAUAGAAUUUUAGUUCAACUUUAAAUUUUCCUAAAGGACACCUAACCCUAAUGAAAGUUUAAAUGUUACUCUAAAGAGGGACAGCUCUUUAGAAAUAGGAUACAGCCUUUUAUAAUGAGUAAGUCAUUUUAAACCCAUAGUUGGCCUAAAAGCAGCCAUCAAUUAAGAAAGCGUUAAAGCUCAACAGUCAAAAUUAACUUAAUUCCUAGAUUUAAAAACGAACUCUUAUAACCCCUAACUGGACUAAUCUAUAAACUUAUAGAAGAAAUAAUGCUAAUAUGAGUAACAAGAAUUUAAUUCUCCUUGCACAAGCCUAUAUCAGAUCGGAUGCCCGCUGAUAGUUAACAACUAGUAAUAGAAAAACUCUACAAAUUAACUCUCUAUUAACUUCUACUGUUGACCCAACACAGGUGUGCACUUAUAGGAAAGAUUAAAAGAAGGAAAAGGAACUCGGCAAACUUUAACCCCGCCUGUUUACCAAAAACAUCACCUCUAGCAUUACUAGUAUUAGAGGCACUGCCUGCCCAGUGACAAACGUUUAACGGCCGCGGUAUCCUGACCGUGCAAAGGUAGCAUAAUCACUUGUUCCUUAAUUAGGGACUAGCAUGAAUGGCAACACGAGGGUUUAACUGUCUCUUCCUUCCAAUCAGUGAAAUUGACCUCCCCGUGAAGAGGCGGGGAUAAAACAAUAAGACGAGAAGACCCUAUGGAGCUUUAAUUAUUUAAUUCAAUAUUUUCACAACUUCACUCCACAGGAGCUUAACCAAGAAAAUCCCUGAAUUAAAAAUUUUGGUUGGGGUGACCUCGGAGCAAAAACCAACCUCCGAAUGAUUAAAGCCUAGACUCAACAAGUCAAAGCAUUAGAAAUCAUAAAUUGACCCAAAUCCUUUUGAUCAACGGAACAAGUUACCCUAGGGAUAACAGCGCAAUCCUAUUUUAGAGUUCCCAUCGACAAUAGGGUUUACGACCUCGAUGUUGGAUCAGGACAUCCCAAUGGUGCAACCGCUAUUAAAGGUUCGUUUGUUCAACGAUUAAAG